CUCGAGGCCAGAUCUUUCCGGUUGAUCCUGCCGGACCUGACUGCUAUCGGAUUGAUACUAAGCCAUGCGAGUCUUUGUAGUAAUACAAGGCAGACGGCUCAGUAACACGUAGUCAAUCUACCCUAUGGACAGGGAUAACCUCGGGAAACUGAGAAUAAUACCUGAUAGAUCAUUAUGCCUGGAAUGGUUUAUGGUCGAAAUGAUUUAUCGCCGUAGGAUGGGACUGCGGUCUAUCAGCUUGUUGGUGAGGUAAUGGCCCACCAAGGCUAUAACAGAUACGGGCUCUGAGAGGAGAAGCCCGGAGAUGGGUACUGAGACACGGACCCAGGCCCUAUGGGGCGCAGCAGGCGAGAAAACUUUGCAAUGUGCGAAAGCACGACAAGGUUAAUCCGAGUGUUUUCUGCUAAAGAAAUCUUUUGUCAGUCCUAAAAACACUGAUGAAUAAGGGGUGGGCAAGUUCUGGUGUCAGCCGCCGCGGUAAAACCAGCACCUCAAGUGGUCAGGAGGAUUAUUGGGCCUAAAGCAUCCGUAGCCGGCUCUGUAAGUUUUCGGUUAAA
Molecule: ribosomal RNA, 557 nt
Filed under: uncultured archaeon
Lineage: Archaea
Description: bacterial SSU rRNA
Rfam family: Archaeal small subunit ribosomal RNA
Source: RNAcentral